UACGUAGGGACCAAGCGUUGUUCGGAUUUACUGGGCGUAAAGGGCGCGUAGGCGGCAAUUCAAGUCAUCUGUGAAAUCUCCGGGCUUAACUCGGAACGGUCAGAUGAUACUGCUUUGCUAGAGUGCGGAAGGGGCAAUCGGAAUUCUUGGUGUAGCGGUGAAAUGCGUAGAUAUCAAGAGGAACACCUGAGGUGAAGACGGGUUGCUGGGCCGACACUGACGCUGAAGCGCGAAAGCCAGGGGAGCAAACGGG
RNAcentral lists this ribosomal RNA (253 nucleotides) under uncultured bacterium. Its description in RNAcentral is "partial 16S ribosomal RNA". It matches the Rfam family "Bacterial small subunit ribosomal RNA", at positions 524 to 776 of the family's 1533-position model. The record is from RNAcentral.